This 706-nucleotide long non-coding RNA is filed under the name Paramuricea clavata. The record is from RNAcentral. Lineage: Eukaryota; Metazoa; Cnidaria; Anthozoa; Malacalcyonacea; Plexauridae.
GUCUUACUCAAGCGGAAACAUGUCCCAUCUUUUAUACUGCGCAUGCGCGAGCUAAACAAGUGUAAUGCAGUGUUGACAAUAGAAAAUUAUAUUGGGAAGUUGUCAUUUCUACAGUAAAAACAGCUUUUUUUCAAGUAGUACGAAAUGUGACUUCGAUUUACCUGUGGAACUAUUUGAACAGAAGGUAAAGCAGUAAUUUUGUUGUAUUUAGAAAGCAAACAGGGUCAUGUUUUUAAAAAUAUAGCGCACUGAAUAUAAAUUUGAGCAUCAUUAAAAUGUGUUCGCUAUGAUGCCAUUUUGUCUCCGGUAUAUACGGAGUUCUGCUUUUAUACUUGUGGAUAUUCGAAUUUAUUUGGCUCAAAAACACCAUUACUUUAAUAUCCCUUUCUUGUUUUUCCUUGGAUAGGUUUUAACAAGAUAGAACUCGAGAUUACUUGGGUCCAAAGACGCUAGAUUAUAAAAUCCUGAUGUGACUUGAUACUACAAAUAGAAUAUGUCUUAUAUUUAAUACUACAAAUAGAAUGUCUUUUAAGUACAAACUUCAAUGAAUUGAUACAGUGUAAGGAUAGUGUUUAAAGUCGCUUCAUGUGUAGAAGCUGAAUUACUUUAGUUUAUACACUGUAUAUUGUCAAGAUCACAUGUUGAUAUGACUUACUAGCAACUUACUACAGACUUACUACUUGUUUAUAAUACUUUAGAGUUUGGC